This 496-nucleotide ribosomal RNA is filed under the name uncultured bacterium. RNAcentral describes it as "partial 16S ribosomal RNA". It matches the Rfam family "Bacterial small subunit ribosomal RNA", at positions 28 to 506 of the family's 1533-position model. The record is from RNAcentral.
GAUGAACGCUGGCGGCGUGCCUAAUACAUGCAAGUCGAGCGAACAGACGAGGAGCUUGCUCCUCUGACGUUAGCGGCGGACGGGUGAGUAACACGUGGAUAACCUACCUAUAAGACUGGGAUAACUUCGGGAAACCGGAGCUAAUACCGGAUAAUAUAUUGAACCGCAUGGUUCAAUAGUGAAAGACGGUUUUGCUGUCACUUAUAGAUGGAUCCGCGCCGCAUUAGCUAGUUGGUAAGGUAACGGCUUACCAAGGCAACGAUGCGUAGCCGACCUGAGAGGGUGAUCGGCCACACGGGAACUGGGACACGGUCCAGACUCCUACGGGAGGCAGCAGUAGGGAAUCUUCCGCAAGGGGCGAAAGCCUGACGGAGAAACGCCGCGUGAGUGAUGAAGGUCUUCGGAUCGUAAAACUCUGUUAUUAGGGAAGAACAAAUGUGUAAGUAACUAUGCACGUCUGGACGGUACCUAAUCAGAAAGCCACGGCUAACUACGU